Molecule: long non-coding RNA, 1568 nt
Filed under: Gallus gallus (chicken)
Lineage: Eukaryota; Metazoa; Chordata; Aves; Galliformes; Phasianidae
Source: RNAcentral
UCCGUGACCACCUCUACUGGUGCUUGGUUUUGGAGAGCUUGGGGGUGUCCGGGAAGUACAUACCAGGUGAACCAUAUGAUAUUCAUCUUGCGGCUUGCUGGGGUAAACGUCGGAGAGGUGCGACUUCAGCCUGCCCACGGUCCAGUCCAGAAAGCAGUUGAUGGUCUGGUCGGUGUACUUCUGGUUGGGCGCCUUGAUGAUGAGGGUCACCGGGUGGCCCACCACGCCCUGCUCCAUGCUGCCGGGCCUGCCCCUCUCCCCCCGCCCGGCACACGGAGCCGCUCGGAGCCGCGGGCGCUCGGGAUGGGCUCAGCGCGCGGGGCGGAACUUCCGCAGGCAACGGGGGGCGCCCAUCCCCGAGCCGGGCGGGCAGGGAGGGGGGCGGCUAGGCGCGGCACACGCGGCCCUCCCACCGCCAACAGACACCACCCUCGGAAAGCCGCCUCCCGCACCCACAGGAAAGCCCGAGCUGAGUCGCACCACACCGCCUCGACCUACGGCCCGCCGCUGUUUGUGUAAAAUGGAGGCCGGAAGCGCGGCCUCCCUCCUCCGCCUACUCCUCCUCCUCCUCCUCCCCCGCCGCUCCCCGCGCCGGACGCUGAGGGGCGCCCGCAGGCCGCGCGGGAGGCUGGCACUGCGCAGGCGCGCUGCGACCUGCCGCCGGGCAGCGGGAACGGGGGGGAGGUGUGACGUGACGUGGCGGCUGUGGGGGCGGGAGGUAUCUGUAUGGGCAGAGCCGCCCUGCUCUGUCCGUUGCCUCCGUCACUGUCGUGUGGCGGGGAUGUCUUCGUGUAAUUUUUUCUACAUGAAAGGGCAUUGUCGCUAUCUAGGUCAGAACAGUAAACGGCUUGUUAAAACACUUUAAAAUACCCACCGUAGCGAAAAACAGCGCUUUCCUCGUACUUCUUUCAGUCUUCACGUGUAACUGCAGAAGGCGCUGUAGUUUGAAGCAGGUUUGCUUGUGUCGCUGACAAAGAAGGAGAAUGUUAGUUAAUCUCGGCACGACGAGCUAGAGGCACGGCAAAGGUUGCUGACGAAAGAAGGACCCCAAGGAACUCCACUGUCCAAAGGGAAAGAUGAACACAGGAUUCUGCAGAAAAACCCUCAGCGCUCAGUACCUAAUUUUUCCUUUUAAAUAAAACUAGGGUGCUCAUGUAGCAACAAAGACAGAGAAAACACUCUGAAUUUUUCUAUUUAUUGACACGUAAUUAUUUGCCUCCACAAGCGCUCCUUCGCAAACCUUAAGGUCCGAGGUGGAGCAUGGGGCCGCUGUGUUUCUAUAGCACCUGUUCUCCUUGAACAGCCUUAUCAAAUCAUACAUGUGGACAACUGGUACUUGACAUUUUCAAAUGUAGUAUUUAACAUACUCGUAUCACUUUCCCAGUUCUCUCCCUUGUUAAGGAACAAUUAUUUGCACUUGGAAUUCUGAACAUGCUGUCAUUACCAGGGCAUGCAACUUAAGUGCCCAAGAAUUUCCAAGAAUAGAAUAGAAUUUCCAAGCGCUGGUCAAAUAUUUGUAUGCGUGGUGAUGCGCCAAAAUGGAUCAGCUAGAGAAGCAAUUGCAAGGG